AGUGAACGCUGGCGGUAGGCCUAACACAUGCAAGUCGAACGGCAGCACAGUAAGAGCUUGCUCUUACGGGUGGCGAGUGGCGGACGGGUGAGGAAUACAUCGGAAUCUACUUUUUCGUGGGGGAUAACGUAGGGAAACUUACGCUAAUACCGCAUACGACCUACGGGUGAAAGCAGGGGAUCUUCGGACCUUGCGCGAUUGAAUGAGCCGAUGUCGGAUUAGCUAGUUGGCGGGGUAAAGGCCCACCAAGGCGACGAUCCGUAGCUGGUCUGAGAGGAUGAUCAGCCACACUGGAACUGAGACACGGUCCAGACUCCUACGGGAGGCAGCAGUGGGGAAUAUUGGGCAAUGGGCGAAAGCCUGAUCCAGCCAUACCGCGUGGGUGAAGAAGGUCUUCGGGUUGUAAAGCCCUUUUGUUGGGAAAGAACAGCAGCAGGUUAAUACCCCGCUGUUCUGACGGUACCCAAAGAAUAAGCACCGGCUAACUUCGUG
RNAcentral lists this ribosomal RNA (492 nucleotides) under uncultured bacterium. RNAcentral describes it as "partial 16S ribosomal RNA". It matches the Rfam family "Bacterial small subunit ribosomal RNA", at positions 29 to 507 of the family's 1533-position model. The record is from RNAcentral.